RNAcentral lists this transfer RNA (82 nucleotides) under Planctomycetota bacterium. Its description in RNAcentral is "tRNA-Tyr". It matches the Rfam family "tRNA". Rfam says of the family: Transfer RNA (tRNA) molecules are approximately 80 nucleotides in length. Lineage: Bacteria; Pseudomonadati; Planctomycetota. RNAcentral also lists the same sequence under 2 other names. The record is from RNAcentral.
GGGCGUGUACCCAAGUGGCCAACGGGGGCAGACUGUAAAUCUGCUGGCAAUGCCUACGCAGGUUCGAAUCCUGCCGCGCCCA